UACGGUGGGUGCGAGCGUUAAUCGGAAUUACUGGGCGUAAAGGGCGCGUCGGCGGUGGGUUACGUCUGCCGUGAAAUCCCCGGGCUCAACCUGGGAAUGGCGGUGGAAACGGGCUGACUGGAGUAUGAGAGAGGGUGAUGGAAUUCCAGGUGUUGCGGUGAAAUGCGUAGAGAUCUGGAGGAACAGCAGUGGCGAAGGUGGUCACCUGGCCCAAUACUGACGCUGAGGCGCGAAAGCGUGGGGAGCAAACAGG
Molecule: ribosomal RNA, 253 nt
Filed under: uncultured bacterium
Lineage: Bacteria
Description: partial 16S ribosomal RNA
Rfam family: Bacterial small subunit ribosomal RNA
Source: RNAcentral